UAAUAACAGAAAAGGCUGCGUAUUUAGGAGAUUGGAUUCCUCUCUAUAAUGUCGUUCUAUUUUUAUUUUAGAAAGCGGGCCUACUGGUAAACAAUUACUACGAAGAGCACUAAUCAGUUUGCGGCAGCAAGGAAUUUGAAAUUUGUUGAAACAAGUGCCAAAGAAAACGUAAAUGUUGAAAAUGCUUUUGAAACUCUUGCUAAAGCAAUGGCCGCCAGCACAACACCACGUGAUAUUACAAUGCAAGAAUCAGUGAUCGGUCUGGACGGCAGGAAAUUGUCAAAAUAUUCACCUUGUUGAUGUCACGUUUA
Anneissia japonica is the source of this 311-nucleotide long non-coding RNA. RefSeq lists it as uncharacterized. The transcript is spliced from 3 exons. NCBI's taxonomy places the organism in Eukaryota, Metazoa, Echinodermata, Crinoidea, Comatulida, Comatulidae. The record is from RefSeq and is a predicted model, not a curated record.